This 209-nucleotide long non-coding RNA is filed under the name Elaeis guineensis (African oil palm). RNAcentral's name for it is "long non-coding RNA (EGUI_LNC071025)". The record is from RNAcentral. Lineage: Eukaryota; Viridiplantae; Streptophyta; Magnoliopsida; Arecales; Arecaceae.
CAGAAUGACAUAAAAAGAUACUCUUCAGAUGUCACAUAACCUAAAAGUUGAUUUUUAGCUCUAACACAUAGGAAAAUCAAACCCUAGGAUACUCAAGCAACAUUUACUGAAAAUCUCACCACCCUUAUAGCAACUCUUGCCACUCAAAAUUUCCUCUUUUUUUUCUCUAAAUUUUUUCUGAAUUUUUUUUAUGUUUACCACAUCCCUAU